Callithrix jacchus (white-tufted-ear marmoset) is the source of this 951-nucleotide long non-coding RNA. RefSeq lists it as uncharacterized. The record is from RefSeq and is a predicted model, not a curated record. Lineage: Eukaryota; Metazoa; Chordata; Mammalia; Primates; Cebidae.
CUUCUGAAUGGUAAAUGAGCAUUGGUUUCAACUCAAAGUUACCAGCUGCAUUAGCUCCUAACAAGAGGAAAACAUCUCAUCCUUAAGACACAGACCCAGUGCCAGCAUUUUGUGAAGUGUUCCCCUCUGACCCGGGAGAGUCGGCAGCCUGGAUCAUGUUUUCAUGGGACUCUGUUCUUAUCUCUACUCUCACGUCUACCUAUCUUCCUCCUCCUACCAGACCAGAAAAUUCAAGUUGAUUCCCAACUGGAUUAUGAGCAGGAGAAAUCUGGAUGCAGAGACAGAUGCAUACAGGGGAAGACAAUGUGAAGACACACAAGGAGAACACAGAGGCUGGGAAUGAUGCUUCAAUGAGCCAAGGAACGAAGAUGAUUGGCAACCAGCAAUAGCUAGGAGAAGGCAAGGAAGGAUUCUCCCACAGGUUUUAGAGAGAACAUAGCCUCAACACCUUGAUUUUACACUUCUGGUCUCCAAAACUGGGAGAUAAUAAAUUUCUCUUGUUUUAAGUCACCUAGUUUAUGGUAUUUUAUUAUAAUACCCUGGGAAACUAAUGCACCCACCAAAUAAAACACUGCCCAUCUAGGGUGCUGGCAGGAUAAGGGGAACAUGGAAUGAGUGAUGGAAAAAGAAGGCUCUGAUGUAUCACCUUGGCCCUAGUGUCCAUCUACAGAGUCUGGGGGUGAAACAACUACAUUUAGUUAUGUCUUUUCCUUGCAUUCUUACAUGAAGGGCACUCACGGUGGCCAAUGUCACAAUUUAGAUUUAGGUGAAAUUGAAAUGACAUCACCACAUGAUGAUACAUUGGCUGAUGGAACUUUGUGCAAAGAAACCAAUGCCCUCAUCCAAGCAAAAGGCAAGAAUGUGCUGAGAGGUACGAGGGACGGGCGGGCUGGUUAUUUUUCAUCUGCCACUUCCUGUCUCACCCCAUCCCAGUCCAUUUUCCUUCCUUCA